This 460-nucleotide ribosomal RNA is filed under the name uncultured bacterium. RNAcentral describes it as "partial 16S ribosomal RNA". It matches the Rfam family "Bacterial small subunit ribosomal RNA", at positions 338 to 795 of the family's 1533-position model. The record is from RNAcentral.
CCUACGGGGAGCAGCAGUGAGGAAUAUUGGUCAAUGGGCGCGAGCCUGAACCAGCCAAGUAGCGUGAAGGAUGACUGCCCUACGGGUUGUAAACUUCUUUUAUAAAGGAAUAAAGUGAGGCACGUGUGCCUUUUUGUAUGUACUUUAUGAAUAAGGAUCGGCUAACUCCGUGCCAGCAGCCGCGGUAAUACGGAGGAUCCGAGCGUUAUCCGGAUUUAUUGGGUUUAAAGGGAGCGUAGAUGGGUUGUUAAGUCAGUUGUGAAAGUUUGCGGCUCAACCGUAAAAUUGCAAUUGAUACUGGCAGCCUUGAGUACAGUUGAGGUAGGCGGAAUUCGUGGUGUAGCGGUGAAAUGCUUAGAUAUCACGAAGAACUCCGAUUGCGCAGGCAGCUUGCUAAUCCGCAUCUGACGCUGAUGCACGAAAGCGUGGGUAGCGAACAGGAUUAGAUACCCUAGUAGUC